UUGAGCCUACGGGACGCAGCAGUAGGGAAUCUUCCACAAUGGACGAAAGUCUGAUGAAGCAACGCCGCGUGAGUGAAGAAGUAUUUCGGUAUGUAAAGCUCUAUCAGCAGGGAAGAAAAUGACGGUACCUGAGUAAGAAGCUCCGGCUAAAUACGUGCCAGCAGCCGCGGAAAUACGUAUGGAGCAAGCGUUAUCCGGAUUUACUGGGUGUAAAGGGAGCGCAGGCGGUCUGGCAAGUCUGAUGUGAAAUACCGGGGCUCAAUCCC
Molecule: ribosomal RNA, 266 nt
Filed under: uncultured bacterium
Lineage: Bacteria
Description: partial 16S ribosomal RNA
Rfam family: Bacterial small subunit ribosomal RNA
Source: RNAcentral